Molecule: long non-coding RNA, 592 nt
Organism: Dermochelys coriacea (leatherback sea turtle)
Lineage: Eukaryota; Metazoa; Chordata; Testudines; Dermochelyidae
Exons: 3
Source: RefSeq, a predicted model, not a curated record
GAUCUGUGAGAGUGAUGGUGACAGUGGUACAGGCCGGCACUACGGGAAGUGGCCGGGAAGGAAGGGGCCGUGGACGCGUACGUCCGGGCCCGCAGGAGAGAUGACUGGGUCGCAACCAGCGUGCCUUGUGUAGACAAGAGGGACACUAAAAAGAUAAGUGCCCAGAAAGGAAUAAAAAGGGGGGCGCCCCUAUGAUGGCAAUAAAGAAACAGGAAUAGGGGUGUCCGGGGGGACGGACCGCCCUGACCCCUAAACCCCAAGUAAAAAUGCAAGUAAAAAAUUCAAAAAUAAACUUUUUAGUGGACUCUGGAGCGGCACGAACUGCCGUGAAUCGACCCCUUCAGUUGCCGGUAGCAGACUCCCUUACCGUGGUGGGUGCCACAGGCAGAGGCACUAAGUGCCCAGUGUAUGCCCCAGCGGAUGCGCUUUGGGAAACAGGACUAUAUCUCACAAGCUGGUCUAUUUCCCCGAGUGCCCGACCCCUCUGCUGGGACGGGAUCUGCUUUGUCGCCUAGGCGCCACCUUGCAGUUUACUCAAAACGAAAUAACCCUUACCCUACCCCCCGAGAAUGCAUGGAUCAUGACCCUUACA